AGUGGGUAGUCCGCACGAGCGCAACCUUGUCCUUAGUUGCCAGCAUUUGGUUGGGCACUCUCAGGAGCUGCCGGUGACAAACCGGAGGCAGGUGGGGACGCCGUCAAGUCAUCAUGGCCCUUACGCGUCGGGCUACACACGUGCUACAAUGGUCGGUACAAAGGGUUGCCAACUCGCGAGCGUGAGCCAAUCCCGAAAAGCCGAUCUCAGUCCGGAUCGGAGUCUGCAACUCGACUCCGUGAAGUCGGAAUCGCUAGUAAUCGUGGAUCAGAAUGCCACGGUGAAUACGUUCCCGGGCCUUGUACACACCGCCCGUCACACCAUGGGAGUGGACUGCACCAGAAGUGGUUAGCCUAACGCAAGAGGGCGAUCACCACGGUGUGGUUCAUGACUGGGGUGAAGUCGUAACAAGGUAGCCGUAGGGGAACCUGCGGCUGGAUCACCUCCUU
RNAcentral lists this ribosomal RNA (449 nucleotides) under uncultured Gammaproteobacteria bacterium. RNAcentral describes it as "bacterial SSU rRNA". It matches the Rfam family "Bacterial small subunit ribosomal RNA", at positions 1074 to 1532 of the family's 1533-position model. Lineage: Bacteria; Pseudomonadati; Pseudomonadota; Gammaproteobacteria. The record is from RNAcentral.